RNAcentral lists this ribosomal RNA (1289 nucleotides) under Mycobacterium tuberculosis. RNAcentral's name for it is "bacterial LSU rRNA". It matches the Rfam family "Bacterial large subunit ribosomal RNA", at positions 1658 to 2925 of the family's 2925-position model. The record is from RNAcentral. Lineage: Bacteria; Bacillati; Actinomycetota; Actinomycetes; Mycobacteriales; Mycobacteriaceae.
CACAGGUGGUCAGGUAGAGCAUACCAAGGCGUACGAGAUAACUAUGGUUAAGGAACUCGGCAAAAUGCCCCCGUAACUUCGGGAGAAGGGGGACCGGAAUAUCGUGAACACCCUUGCGGUGGGAGCGGGAUCCGGUCGCAGAAACCAGUGAGGAGCGACUGUUUACUAAAAACACAGGUCCGUGCGAAGUCGCAAGACGAUGUAUACGGACUGACGCCUGCCCGGUGCUGGAAGGUUAAGAGGACCCGUUAACCCGCAAGGGUGAAGCGGAGAAUUUAAGCCCCAGUAAACGGCGGUGGUAACUAUAACCAUCCUAAGGUAGCGAAAUUCCUUGUCGGGUAAGUUCCGACCUGCACGAAUGGCGUAACGACUUCUCAACUGUCUCAACCAUAGACUCGGCGAAAUUGCACUACGAGUAAAGAUGCUCGUUACGCGCGGCAGGACGAAAAGACCCCGGGACCUUCACUACAACUUGGUAUUGAUGUUCGGUACGGUUUGUGUAGGAUAGGUGGGAGACUGUGAAACCUCGACGCCAGUUGGGGCGGAGUCGUUGUUGAAAUACCACUCUGAUCGUAUUGGGCAUCUAACCUCGAACCCUGAAUCGGGUUUAGGGACAGUGCCUGGCGGGUAGUUUAACUGGGGCGGUUGCCUCCUAAAAUGUAACGGAGGCGCCCAAAGGUUCCCUCAACCUGGACGGCAAUCAGGUGGCGAGUGUAAAUGCACAAGGGAGCUUGACUGCGAGACUUACAAGUCAAGCAGGGACGAAAGUCGGGAUUAGUGAUCCGGCACCCCCGAGUGGAAGGGGUGUCGCUCAACGGAUAAAAGGUACCCCGGGGAUAACAGGCUGAUCUUCCCCAAGAGUCCAUAUCGACGGGAUGGUUUGGCACCUCGAUGUCGGCUCGUCGCAUCCUGGGGCUGGAGCAGGUCCCAAGGGUUGGGCUGUUCGCCCAUUAAAGCGGCACGCGAGCUGGGUUUAGAACGUCGUGAGACAGUUCGGUCUCUAUCCGCCGCGCGCGUCAGAAACUUGAGGAAACCUGUCCCUAGUACGAGAGGACCGGGACGGACGAACCUCUGGUGCACCAGUUGUCCCGCCAGGGGCACCGCUGGAUAGCCACGUUCGGUCAGGAUAACCGCUGAAAGCAUCUAAGCGGGAAACCUUCUCCAAGAUCAGGUUUCUCACCCACUUGGUGGGAUAAGGCCCCCCGCAGAACACGGGUUCAAUAGGUCAGACCUGGAAGCUCAGUAAUGGGUGUAGGGAACUGGUGCUAACCGGCCGAAAACUUACAACA